Molecule: ribosomal RNA, 497 nt
Filed under: uncultured bacterium
Lineage: Bacteria
Description: partial 16S ribosomal RNA
Rfam family: Bacterial small subunit ribosomal RNA
Source: RNAcentral
GAUGAACGCUGGCGGCGUGCCUAAUACAUGCCAGUCGCGCGAACAGACGAGGAGCUUGCUCCUCUGACGUUAGCGGCGGACGGGUGAGUAACACGUGGAUAACCUACCUAUAAGACUGGGAUAACUUCGGGAAACCGGAGCUAAUACCGGAUAAUAUAUUGAACCGCAUGGUUCAAUAGUGAAAGACGGUUUUGCUGUCACUUAUAGAUGGAUCCGCGCCGCAUUAGCUAGUUGGUAAGGUAACGGCUUACCAAGGCAACGAUGCGUAGCCGACCUGAGAGGGUGAUCGGCCACACUGGAACUGAGACACGGUCCAGACUCCUACGGGAGGCAGCAGUAGGGAAUCUUCCGCAAUGGGCGAAAGCCUGACGGAGCAACGCCGCGUGAGUGAUGAAGGUCUUCGGAUCGUAAAACUCUGUUAUUAGGGAAGAACAAAUGUGUAAGUAACUAUGCACGUCUUGACGGUACCUAAUCAGAAAGCCACGGCUAACUACGUG